UCCAAGUUGCUUCGGCGGCGCGGCACCCCUUAACGGGGGCGCCGCAGCCCUGCCUCUCCGGAGGUUCGGGGCGCCCGCCGGAGGUACGAAACUCUGUAUUAUAGUGGCAUCUCUGAGUAUAAAACAAAUAAGUUAAAACUUUCAACAACGGAUCUCUUGGUUCUGGCAUCGAUGAAGAACGCAGCGAAAUGCGAUAAGUAAUGUGAAUUGCAGAAUUCAGUGAAUCAUCGAAUCUUUGAACGCACAUUGCGCCCGGUAGUACUCUACCGGGCAUGCCUGUUCGAGCGUCAUUUCAACCCUCAAGCCCUGCUUGGUGUUGGGGCCCUACGGCUGCCGUAGGCCCUGAAAGGAAGUGGCGGGCUCGCUACAACUCCGAGCGUAGUAAUUCAUUAUCUCGCUAGGGAGGUUGCGGCGUGCUCCUGCCGUUAAAGACCCAUCUUUAACCAAGGUUGACCUCGGAUCAGGUAGGAAUACCCGCUGAACUUAAGCAUAUCAAUAAGCGGAGGAAAAGAAACCAACAGGGAUUGCCCUAGUAACGGCGAGUGAAGCGGCAACAGCUCAAAUUUGAAAUCUGGCUUCGGCCCGAGUUGUAAUUUGUAGAGGAUGCUUUUGGUGAGGUGCCUUCUGAGUUCCCUGGAACGGGACGCCAGAGAGGGUGAGAGCCCCGUAUAGUCGGCCACCGAUCCUUUGUAAAGCUCCUUCGACGAGUCGAGUAGUUUGGGAAUGCUGCUCAAAAUGGGAGGUAUAUCUCUUCUAAAGCUAAAUAUAGGCCAGAGACCGAUAGCGCACAAGUAGAGUGAUCGAAAGAUGAAAAGCACUUUGAAAAGAGGGUUAAAUAGCACGUGAAAUUGUUGAAAGGGAAGCGCUUGUGACCAGACUUGUGCCGGGCUGAUCAUCCAGUGUUCUCACUGGUGCACUCGACCCGGCUCAGGCCAGCGUCGGUUUUCGUGGGGGGAUAAAAGCUUCGGGAACGUGGCACCUUCGGGUGUGUUAUAGCCCGUUGCUUAAUACCUCCGUGGAGA
RNAcentral lists this ribosomal RNA (1022 nucleotides) under Sordariomycetes sp. genotype 54. RNAcentral's name for it is "eukaryotic LSU rRNA". The stretch from base 451 to 1022 matches the Rfam family "Eukaryotic large subunit ribosomal RNA", at positions 1 to 585 of the family's 3401-position model. Lineage: Eukaryota; Fungi; Ascomycota; Sordariomycetes. The record is from RNAcentral.